CCUACGGGAGGCAGCAGUGAGGAAUAUUGGUCAAUGGGCGCGAGCCUGAACCAGCCAAGUAGCGUGAAGGAUGACUGCCCUACGGGUUGUAAACUUCUUUUAUAAAGGAAUAAAGUGAGGCACGUGUGCCUUUUUGUAUGUACUUUAUGAAUAAGGAUCGGCUAACUCCGUGCCAGCAGCCGCGGUAAUACGGAGGAUCCGAGCGUUAUCCGGAUUUAUUGGGUUUAAAGGGAGCGUAGAUGGGUUGUUAAGUCAGUUGUGAAAGUUUGCGGCUCAACCGUAAAAGUGCAAUUGAUAAUGGCAGACUCGAGUACAGUUGAGGUAGGCGGAAUGCGUGGUGUAGCGGUGAAAUGCUGAGAUAUCGGGAAGAACUCCGGUUGCGAAGGCAGCCUGCUAGACUGCCACUGACGUUGAGGCUCGAAAGUGUGGGUAUCAAACAGGAUGAGAUACCCUUGUAGUC
RNAcentral lists this ribosomal RNA (460 nucleotides) under uncultured bacterium. Its description in RNAcentral is "partial 16S ribosomal RNA". It matches the Rfam family "Bacterial small subunit ribosomal RNA", at positions 338 to 795 of the family's 1533-position model. The record is from RNAcentral.